UGAUCUACAUUUGUAGUCAUAGAUUUUUUUUUUUGAAAGGGUUGAAAUAUCCCCAAAUUUUAGUACUAUAUAAGAGAAAAGGUUUUAUUGUAUGCUCAAAAACAUGAAGGCUGUUUUUUAAACUAGGAUUCAGUGACAGAAAGUCCUUGCGUAGCUUAUGGUAGGCUUUUAACGCCUUAUUAUACAAUUCUCUCUGAGCGAAGGAAAAAAAUCC
This 214-nucleotide long non-coding RNA is filed under the name Mytilus galloprovincialis (Mediterranean mussel). Lineage: Eukaryota; Metazoa; Mollusca; Bivalvia; Mytilida; Mytilidae. The record is from RNAcentral.